This 464-nucleotide ribosomal RNA is filed under the name uncultured bacterium. Its description in RNAcentral is "partial 16S ribosomal RNA". It matches the Rfam family "Bacterial small subunit ribosomal RNA", at positions 339 to 795 of the family's 1533-position model. The record is from RNAcentral.
CUACGGGCGGCAGCAGUGGGGAAUAUUGCACAAUGGGCGCAAGCCUGAUGCAGCCAUGCCGCGUGUAUGAAGAAGGCCUUCGGGUUGUAAAGUACUUUCAGCGGGGAGGAAGGGAGUAAAGUUAAUACCUUUGCUCAUUGACGUUACCCGCAGAAGAAGCACCGGCUAACUCCGUGCCAGCAGCCGCGGUAAUACGGAGGGUGCAAGCGUUAAUCGGAAUUACUGGGCGUAAAGCGCACGCAGGCGGUUUGUUAAGUCAGAUGUGAAAUCCCCGGGCUCAACCUGGGAACUGCAUCUGAUACUGGCAAGCUUGAGUCUCGUAGAGGGGGGUAGAAUUCCAGGUGUAGCGGUGAAAUGCGUAGAGAUCUGGAGGAAUACCGGUGGCGAAGGCGGCCCCCUGGACAAAGACUGACGCUCAGGUGCGAAAGCGUGGGGAGCAAACAGGAUUAGAUACCCCCGUAGUC